GAUCCUGACUCAGGACGAACGCUGUCGGCGUGCUUAACACAUGCAAGUCGAACGAGAAUCUACUGAAAGAGUUUUCGGACAAUGGAAGUAGAGGAAAGUGGCGGACGGGUGAGUAACGCGUGAGGAACCUGCCUUGAAGAGGGGGACGAACAGUUGGAAACGACUGCUAAUACCGCAUGACGCAUAGAGGUCGCAUGAUCUUUAUGCCAAAGAUUUAUCGCUUCAAGAUGGCCUCGCG
Molecule: ribosomal RNA, 238 nt
Filed under: uncultured bacterium
Lineage: Bacteria
Description: partial 16S ribosomal RNA
Rfam family: Bacterial small subunit ribosomal RNA
Source: RNAcentral